UCAACAAAAUUCUUAUAGCCUAGCUUGGAAGUGGAAUGCUAAAAGAACAAGUAUGCCUUCUACAUUGGAGCCCAAACCGUCCAUUAAAGGGGAAAGAAGCCCAAAUUCGGAAAUGACUUGGUAGAGCAGCCAAACCAAGUUUGGAAAUUUUAAUUAAGUGUCCUUACAUGUAUAAAUAAAAAAAUAAAAAACCAGCCCCAGUCAA
RNAcentral lists this long non-coding RNA (205 nucleotides) under Gossypium raimondii (Peruvian cotton). RNAcentral's name for it is "long non-coding RNA (GRAI_LNC004314)". Lineage: Eukaryota; Viridiplantae; Streptophyta; Magnoliopsida; Malvales; Malvaceae. The record is from RNAcentral.